Molecule: ribosomal RNA, 228 nt
Filed under: uncultured Diversispora
Lineage: Eukaryota; Fungi; Glomeromycota; Glomeromycetes; Diversisporales; Diversisporaceae
Description: partial 18S ribosomal RNA
Rfam family: Eukaryotic small subunit ribosomal RNA
Source: RNAcentral
AGCAGCCGCGGUAAUUCCAGCUCCAAUAGCGUAUAUUAAAGUUGUUGCGGUUAAAAAGCUCGUAGUUGGAUCUCAGUUCGUGCCUAUUGGUCCUCCUCUGAAAGGUGGCCACUGAUAGUUGCCGGACAGCUUAUCGAUUAGUGUUUUCCCGAGAGGGGGCACUCGUAAGGUCCCAUGGUGCUCUUUACCGGGUGUCAUGGGCGAUCGAUACGUUUACUUUGAAAAAAU